AGCGAACGCUGGCGGCAGGCCUAACACAUGCAAGUCGAACGCCCCUUCGGGGGAGUGGCGGACGGGUGAGUAACGCGUGGGAAUGUGCCCUUUGGUACGGAACAACUGAGGGAAACUUCAGCUAAUACCGUAUUUGCCCUACGGGGGAAAGAUUUAUCGCCAUUGGAGCAGCCCGCGUUGGAUUAUGUAGUGGGUGGGGUAAUGGCGCACCAAGCCGACGAGCCAUAGCUGGUCUGAGAGGAUGAUCAGCCACAAUGGGACUGAGACACGGCCCAGACUCCUACGGAAGGCAGCAGUGGGGAAUCUUACGCAAUGGGCGAUAGUCUGACGAAGCCAUGCCGCGUAAAUGAUGAAGGUCUUAGGAUUGUACAAUUCUUUCUCCGGAGGAGAUAAUGACGGUACCCGGAGAAGAAGCCCCGGCUAACUUCGUG
Molecule: ribosomal RNA, 431 nt
Filed under: uncultured bacterium
Lineage: Bacteria
Description: partial 16S ribosomal RNA
Rfam family: Bacterial small subunit ribosomal RNA
Source: RNAcentral